GCUCGACCUCAAAUCAGGUAGGAAUACCCGCUGAACUUAAGCAUAUCAAUAAGCGGAGGAAAAGAAACCAA
This 71-nucleotide ribosomal RNA is filed under the name Pichia inconspicua. RNAcentral's name for it is "[Candida] inconspicua partial 28S ribosomal RNA". It matches the Rfam family "Eukaryotic large subunit ribosomal RNA", at positions 1 to 68 of the family's 3401-position model. Lineage: Eukaryota; Fungi; Ascomycota; Pichiomycetes; Pichiales; Pichiaceae. The record is from RNAcentral.